RNAcentral lists this ribosomal RNA (598 nucleotides) under Acinetobacter haemolyticus. RNAcentral's name for it is "bacterial SSU rRNA". It matches the Rfam family "Bacterial small subunit ribosomal RNA", at positions 124 to 716 of the family's 1533-position model. Lineage: Bacteria; Pseudomonadati; Pseudomonadota; Gammaproteobacteria; Moraxellales; Moraxellaceae. The record is from RNAcentral.
AUCUGCCUAUUGGUGGGGGACAACAUUCCGAAAGGAAUGCUAAUACCGCAUACGUCCUACGGGAGAAAGCAGGGGAUCUUCGGACCUUGCGCUAAUAGAUGAGCCUAAGUCGGAUUAGCUAGUUGGUGGGGUAAAGGCCUACCAAGGCGACGAUCUGUAGCGGGUCUGAGAGGAUGAUCCGCCACACUGGGACUGAGACACGGCCCAGACUCCUACGGGAGGCAGCAGUGGGGAAUAUUGGACAAUGGGCGGAAGCCUGAUCCAGCCAUGCCGCGUGUGUGAAGAAGGCCUUUUGGUUGUAAAGCACUUUAAGCGAGGAGGAGGCUACUCUAGUUAAUACCUAGAGAUAGUGGACGUUACUCGCAGAAUAAGCACCGGCUAACUCUGUGCCAGCAGCCGCGGUAAUACAGAGGGUGCGAGCGUUAAUCGGAUUUACUGGGCGUAAAGCGUGCGUAGGCGGCUGAUUAAGUCGGAUGUGAAAUCCCUGAGCUUAACUUAGGAAUUGCAUUCGAUACUGGUCAGCUAGAGUAUGGGAGAGGAUGGUAGAAUUCCAGGUGUAGCGGUGAAAUGCGUAGAGAUCUGGAGGAAUACCGAUGGC